RNAcentral lists this long non-coding RNA (374 nucleotides) under Rattus norvegicus (Norway rat). RNAcentral describes it as "long non-coding RNA NONRATT011108". The record is from RNAcentral. Lineage: Eukaryota; Metazoa; Chordata; Mammalia; Rodentia; Muridae.
AGCCCAUCUGCUGGCAAGGCCAAGAUUAGAACAGCACACAAGAGAAUUAUGAUUUUAAACCAUCCCGACAAAGUGUGUGCUCUUGGCUGGGAUGGACUGCAGUCACGUUAAGCAUUCCUGUCUGUCAGAUGAUUGACGAGCUGUUGCUUGUUUCUACCAGGAAAGAGGUGGAUCUCCUUACUUAGCAUCCAAAAUAAAUGAAGCAAAAGAUUUGCUCGAAGCAUCCAGCAAAGCUAACUGAUGCUGAAGGACUGUGCCAGGGGAAAUGAAACGCAAGACUUUAAAGGUCCUUCAGAAGAAUGUGGGACGUGGUCUUGUCUGACCAAGUCUGUUCUCUGUCACUAAGCGUGCAGCAAUAAAAGCCUUGCAGCCUU